AGGACUACCGGGGUAUCUAAUCCUGUUUGCUCCCCACGCUUUCGUGCAUGAGCGUCAGUGCAGGCCCAGGGGAUUGCCUUCGCCAUUGGUGUUCCUCCGCAUAUCUACGCAUUUCACUGCUACACGCGGAAUUCCAUCCCCCUCUGCCACACUCGAGCUGUGCAGUCACAAGCGCCAUUCCCAGGUUGAGCCCGGGGAUUUCACGCCUGUCUUACACAACCGCCUGCGCACGCUUUACGCCCAGUAAUUCCGAUUAACGCUUGCACCCUACGUAUUACCGCGGCUCUGGCAC
RNAcentral lists this unclassified non-coding RNA (292 nucleotides) under uncultured Gammaproteobacteria bacterium. RNAcentral describes it as "contains 16S-23S intergenic spacer region". Lineage: Bacteria; Pseudomonadati; Pseudomonadota; Gammaproteobacteria. The record is from RNAcentral.